GAUGAAGAACGUAGCGAAAUGCGAUAAGUAAUGUGAAUUGCAGAAUUCAGUGAAUCAUCGAAUCUUUGAACGCACCUUGCGCCCUUUGGACUUCUGAAGGGCAUGCCUGUUUGAGUAUCAUGAACACCUCAACUCCUUAUGGUCUUCCAUGAUGAGCUUGGACUUUGGGGGUUUUGCUGGCCCACCGCCGGCUCCUCUCAAAUGAAUCAGCUUGCCAGUGUCUGGUGGCAUCACAGGUGUGAUAACUAUCUACGCUUGUGGUUUUCCGCCAGGUAACCUCAAGCGAUGGAGGUUCGCUGGAGCUCACAAAUGUCUCUCCUCAGCGAAGACAGCUCUUGAACGUUUGAUCUCAAAUCAGGUAGGACUACCCGCUGAACUUAAGCAUAUCAAUAAGCGGAGGA
This 401-nucleotide unclassified non-coding RNA is filed under the name soil metagenome. RNAcentral describes it as "partial contains 5.8S ribosomal RNA, internal transcribed spacer 2, and large subunit ribosomal RNA". The stretch from base 1 to 120 matches the Rfam family "5.8S ribosomal RNA", at positions 35 to 154 of the family's 154-position model. The record is from RNAcentral.